This 348-nucleotide long non-coding RNA is filed under the name Brachypodium distachyon (stiff brome). Its description in RNAcentral is "long non-coding RNA (BDIS_LNC004113)". Lineage: Eukaryota; Viridiplantae; Streptophyta; Magnoliopsida; Poales; Poaceae. The record is from RNAcentral.
UUAGUUAAAAGCUCCUUUAAUUUGCAGGCUGUCUGCCGUCGCUUGGCCGGCGAUCGAGUCGUGAUCGUGUUGGUUGGACGUUGGAUGUGAUCGUUCUUGACCAAGACUUACUCCUAAUUGGUUCUCUUGACACCACCAAAGGGGUAUUAACAUCCAUUUCCUGACAGCGUGCACGCGGCAUUGCAGCAUGCCCCUGUCCAAAUCAUUCCGUGUGUUGUUAGGUAGAAAAGGGGAUAUUUAUACUGGAGUAUAUGAUUAAGGAGAAGCCAGAUCACGCCGGCAAAAUAAAAAAGAAGAAAAAGAAGAGAAUUUAGAAUAUUUGAUAAGCAAAAUAAAUUAAAUUCGGGC